Molecule: ribosomal RNA, 900 nt
Filed under: Ruinenia dracophylli
Lineage: Eukaryota; Fungi; Basidiomycota; Agaricostilbomycetes; Agaricostilbales; Ruineniaceae
Description: LSU rRNA
Rfam family: Eukaryotic large subunit ribosomal RNA
Source: RNAcentral
GCAUAUCAUAAGCGGAGGAAAAUGAAACUAAAGAUUCCCUAGUAACGGCGAGUGAAGCGGGAAAAGCUCAACUUUGUAAUCUGGCUGUUUCRCAGUCCGAGUUGUAGUCUCGAGAAAUGAUAUCCGCGCCGGACCUUAGACAUGUCUGUUGGAAUACAGUGUCAAAGAGGGUGAGAAUCCCGUACAUACUAAGGACGACCGUGUGCAUUGUGAUACGUUUUCAAAGAGUCGAGUUGUUUGGGAAUGCAGCUCAAAUCGGGUGGUAAACUCCAUCUAAAGCUAAAUAUUGGCGAGAGACCGAUAGCGAACAAGUACCGUGAGGGAAAGAUGAAAAGCACUUUGGAAAGAGAAUGAAAUAGUAUGUGAAAUUGCUGGAUGGGAAACGUUUGAGGUUAGACUUGCUUUUGUGGUAUUCAGCCGAAAGGUGUACUUGCCACAUAAUGCAGGCCAGCAUCAGUUUGAGCCGUUGUAAAAGGGUAGAGAGAACGUAGCUUGCUCGCAAGUGUUAUAGCUCACUACUGGAUGCAAAGGUUUGGACUGAGGAACGCAGCGCGCCGCAAGGUAAAGCUUUCAAGCUUAAAGCGCUUAGGAUGCUGGUAGAAUAGCCUUAACCGACCCGUCUUGAAACACGGACCAAGGAGUCUAACAUGCCUGCGAGUGUUUGAGUGUCAAACUCGAGCGCGUAAUGAAAGUGAAUGAAGGUGGGAUCCGUAAGGUGCACCAUCGACCGGUCUUGAUCUAUUGGGAUGGAUCUGAGUAAGAGCAUGUAUGUUGGGACCCGAAAGAUGGUGAACUAUGCCUGAAUAGGGUGAAGCCAGAGGAAACUCUGGUGGAGGCUCGUAGCGGUUCUGACGUGCAAAUCGAUCGUCAAAUUUGGGUAUAGGGGGCGAAAGACUAAUC